Molecule: ribosomal RNA, 514 nt
Filed under: uncultured bacterium
Lineage: Bacteria
Description: bacterial SSU rRNA
Rfam family: Bacterial small subunit ribosomal RNA
Source: RNAcentral
ACUACGCUGGCGGCGUGCCUAACACAUGCAAGUCGGACGAUUCUUUGAUUAUAGCAAUAUUAUUAAAGAGGAGUGGCGAACGGGUGAGUAACACGUAGAUAAUCUGCCUUUCAGACGGGGACAACUCAGGGAAACUUGUGCUAAUACCCGAUGAGACCACAAGAAGGGAUUUUUUGUGGCCAAAGGCGGGCAGCAAUGCUCGUGCUGAAAGAUGAGUCUGCGUCCUAUCAGCUAGUUGGUGGGGUAAAUGCCUACCAAGGCUAAGACGGGUAGCCGGCCUGAGAGGGUGAACGGCCACACUGGGACUGAGACACGGCCCAGACUCCUACGGGAGGCAGCAGUGAGGAAUUUUCCGCAAUGGGCGCAAGCCUGACGGAGCGACGCCGCGUGAGGGAUGAACCAGCUUUCGGGUUGUAAACCUCUUUUAUUAAGGAAAAAGAUCUAUAUGCUAAUAUCAUGUAGAUUUGAUGGUACUUAUUGAAUAAGCCCCGGCUAACUACGUGCCAGCAGCGGC